RNAcentral lists this unclassified non-coding RNA (201 nucleotides) under Melitaea cinxia (Glanville fritillary). Its description in RNAcentral is "misc RNA ENSMCXG00005020180.1". Lineage: Eukaryota; Metazoa; Arthropoda; Insecta; Lepidoptera; Nymphalidae. The record is from RNAcentral.
GGUGUUUGCCGUGGUCUGGGUGUUUGUGCAGUCCUUGUGGGUCUCCCCACCGUGCCUCGGAGAGCACGUUAAGCCGUCGGUCCCGGUUGUUAUCAUUUACACCUAAUAGCGAUCGUUACUCAUAGUAGGGAAUAUAUCCGCCAACCCGCAUUGGAGCAGCGUGGUGGAUUAAGCUCUGAUCCUUCUCCUACAUGGGGAAAG